Long non-coding RNA from Ctenopharyngodon idella (grass carp), 2952 nucleotides. RefSeq lists it as uncharacterized. The record is from RefSeq and is a predicted model, not a curated record. Lineage: Eukaryota; Metazoa; Chordata; Actinopteri; Cypriniformes; Xenocyprididae. The transcript has 3 exons.
UGCCAUGUCACAUCCUUGAAAAAAAAGCAAGGGGGAAAACUCCAUUUGCAUUAAAACAGAGGGUUAAAUGAAGCACAGUGGCGCUAGCGGCAGGCGCUGAAACACAAACAUACAAUCUCUCACACGCACACACGCAGAGCCUCGCAGCUUUCUCCUCACAAAUGGACGAGGUGCCCACAUUUACAUUGUAAAGCUGGAGGACUCGGAGCGGGGGAAGGGGUCAGAGGGAGGGCUUGGUGAGCCUUGGCCCUGCUCUCUAUUUUUGUUUCCAGCUUUUUUGUGCGCCACACACUGCAGUGGAUUUUUCAACUUGGCCCUCAUCAGUUGUACGCCUGAUGAAACAAACACUGACAGCUUCUUUACAUUUGUAAAGGCCCCUACAGCAGCUGUGCCUAUCUCACCACACGUCUAUGAAUCAGGGCCCGACCCCAGCUGGGCCUGCAGAGAGAGAGAGAGGGAUAGGGAGAACGAGAGAGGAAGAAUAGCCAUGGGUAACCCCCCGUUCCCCCCACACCAUGUGCCAUGUUCACUUCAACAGAACAGGAACACAAACGCGAGCUCUGGCUGCAUUCAUUAGCCAAACUCUGAAAUCCAAACCAGCGUAACUCUUCGCUCUAAAAACAGCCCUCAAAAAUAAUUAUACAGAGAAGUUGUUUCAGAGAGUGUCAGGACGGCCUGAAAGCCAUUAAAGGAGCUCGUCUGAAAGCAGAAGUGCCUACUUGCCCCCCCUUCUGCUUUUCACACACGUCUAUCAAUCAGGGACGGUCUAAUUGCAUUUCCUUGUUUGCUCUUAUUAACAUCUAUUAUCAUAUUUUUUUUUCUCUCUCUCUCGUUUUCCACUAAAUGAAUUUUAAUAAUAUUCACAGAACAUGUGAAGGAAAAAUGGGGUAAUAAAAAAAAAAUUGAAGGGAAAAAAAACAAAAAAAACAAACCUUGCACUCAUGUUCCAGGGGAUAUGGUUAAGCCAAGCAUGUAUAAUUGUCUUACGCUAAUUAAGGGGAGGCUGAAUCCAAGGGGCCAAGAGUUGUGCAGGCCCGGGGGACAGAUCCUUCAGGUUGUUUUUGUUGUUUGCCUGACCAGAUUUUAGCACAGCUGCCUGCACUGCACAGAUGUGACAUGAUCAGCCAUGUUCUGAAUGGUUCAGAUCCAUUCCACACACCCUACACAGAGGCUCAUGACCCUGACCAUACAGACGUGUGGUCACUAUGAGAUGGAGCAGAUCCCUGUCAGACAUGCAACCACACACAAAACAAAUGAACUUUAAAUAGCUAAAAUUAAUUCUCACUUAGUUAACAACAACAAUACGAAAGGGGAAAAGACCUAAGUGCAGGGUUCACACUUUUGACCAAUACAUUUCCUGUACGUUCCCAGUCACUCUUGAUUACAUAGAUAAGAUUAUUAAAAUAAUUUAUCAAAAUAGUGUGCUCUAAAUGGACAUUUUCAGCCAAAUAAAUAUUUUAGAAGAGAGAAUUUCCAUUAUUUAAGACAUGAUUUCCAUGACAAUGGGAUCCCUGUACAUGUAAAGUUUUUUUUUUUAUUUUUUUUAUUCAAAAUAAAUAGGCCUACUGGUCAUAAACCAGAUAACUAAUGCUUUUACAAUAAAAAAAAAAACAUAGCUACAUUAUAAUAAAUAUAAAGCUCGUCCAUUUCUGACAAUAUUUUAGCAAGUUACACAAGGCAGGGUUUUUAAACUAAUGGUAGUACAGAGGGUUUAACUGAAUCAUUCUUCUCAGGGAUUACAAGUCACCACGUGGUGUAAAAGUCUACUUUGUCAUCACUUUCAUUUCCCUUGUCAAUCAACAAAAGUAAUUGCGUCACACUUUUGUGAGCUACCGUAACAAUAAGAGACGUACUACAGCUACGUUGAACAAAAGUACACAAUGACAAUUUCCAUCACCUUUAUGGAAAGGGAUAAGAUGUCACGGAGCUCGAGCACUGCCGAUACUGUGCGUGGAAACUGCCCCCGUGGUGCGUCAUCAUAACCUAUACCCUCCCAAUGUUUGUUUCAUUCCUGUUAACCUGUUGCUGAUGAACUGAAAUAAAUAUCACUAAACUAAAAAGCGUAACAAAGUCUUUUCCAUGUAGCAAUACCGGUCAAAAUAUGGUUCUGUGGAAAAAAAAAAAAGUUCAAUAUGAGGGCACGUGACAAGCCUACUUCACGCGGCAGACAAAAUUGGCUGCACGAGCUAACCCUUUCACGCGCCAGCGGGAAAUUAUUUCUCGGCCCUGGCUUGGUUUGAGAAGAAACUAAAGUAAGGACUUGGACAAUGAGAGAUGUAACAACAGUAUCACAAACUCUGACAAAAGAAACUUCCCCUCGAGUACAGUGAUGUGUGAGUGUUGGUGGUAUCCGGUGUGGCUGGACGGGUGUUAGCCAGUUUCAUCCCAAACCUCCACCCAACAUAGCUGCUGCCCAGAGAUUAACUCUACCACAUAGACGAUUAAACCAGAGGGGCAGCCUGAAACGAUUACAGAUAACAUUGAUGAAGUCCCAUCGUUUGAAGUGCUGCCUUUUCCUGGGUCUCAUAUGCUUGUGCAAAUGUUUCUUCUUCCUCCUUUGGCCAAGACUGUAAGGCUUAAACUUAUGUGGUAAGGAACUUGAAAUAAACUCAUAAGGAAACAUGAACGCUUUGAAGAUGGUGGUGCUCUGGCUGAAACCAUGAGGGUCAUCAAACAAAUGUCAUUUACCCCAAUUAAGAGACCUCUUCUUGCGGGCAUUUUCCAUUGCUGUAAACUCUUAUGCAUUGACAUGAUAAUACAAUUUCUUUUCUUGUCCCUGACAUAUUUUUGCCUCAGUAUGUCAGACAGUAAAGGAGCUCUUAUCAGGAUAUUUGGGGCCGAUCAAUGGAAGCAGUAUUGGCCGAUACUGAUCAUCACCGAUCACUUCUAUUUAUCAUGUACUAUUAUUUUAGUUAUUUUAACAACAAUGUAUAUUAAGUAUUAAAAUUUAAA